UCCCAGACUCCUACGGGAGGCAGCAGUGGGGGAUAUUGCACAAUGGGGGGAACCCUGAUGCAGCGACGCCGCGUGGGUGAGGAAGCGCCUCGGCGCGUAAAGCCCUGUCAGCAGGGAAGAAAAUGACGGUACCUGAGUAAGAAGCCCCGGCUAACUACGUGCCAGCAGCCGCGGUAAUACGUAGGGGGCAAGCGUUAUCCGGAAUUACUGGGUGUAAAGGGAGCGUAGACGGUGAAGUAAGUCUGGAGUGAAAGGCGGGGGCCCAACCCCCGGACUGCUCUGGAAACUAUUUGACUGGAGUGCAGGAGAGGUAAGCGGAAUUCCUAGUGUAGCGGUGAAAUGCGUAGAUAUUAGGAGGAACACCAGUGGCGAAGGCGGCUUACUGGACUGUAACUGACGUUGAGGCUCGAAAGCGUGGGGAGCAAACAGGAUUAGAUACCCUAGUA
This 446-nucleotide ribosomal RNA is filed under the name uncultured bacterium. Its description in RNAcentral is "bacterial SSU rRNA". It matches the Rfam family "Bacterial small subunit ribosomal RNA", at positions 329 to 792 of the family's 1533-position model. The record is from RNAcentral.